UCGAAUGAUUUGUGUCCACGUUUUCCGC
This 28-nucleotide small RNA is filed under the name Bombyx mori (domestic silkworm). RNAcentral describes it as "piRNA piR-bmo-1769894". The record is from RNAcentral. Lineage: Eukaryota; Metazoa; Arthropoda; Insecta; Lepidoptera; Bombycidae.